Molecule: ribosomal RNA, 484 nt
Filed under: uncultured bacterium
Lineage: Bacteria
Description: partial 16S ribosomal RNA
Rfam family: Bacterial small subunit ribosomal RNA
Source: RNAcentral
AUUGAACGCUGGCGGAAUGCUUUACACAUGCAAGUCGAACGGCAGCACGGGGGCAGCCCUGGUGGCGAGUGGCGAACGGGUGAGUAAUACAUCGGAACGUGCCCGGUCGUGGGGGAUAACGUAGCGAAAGUUACGCUAAUACCGCAUACGAUCUGAGGAUGAAAGCGGGGGACCUUCGGGCCUCGCGCGAUCGGAGCGGCCGAUGUCAGAUUAGGUAGUUGGUGGGGUAAAGGCCUACCAAGCCGACGAUCUGUAGCUGGUCCGAGAGGACGACCAGCCACACUGGGACUGAGACACGGCCCAGACUCCUACGGGAGGCAGCAGUGGGGAAUUUUGGACAAUGGGCGCAAGCCUGAUCCAGCCAUUCCGCGUGCAGGACGAAGGCCUUCGGGUUGUAAACUGCUUUUGUACGGAACGAAAAGGCUCUGGCUAAUACCUGGGGCUCAUGACGGUACCGUAAGAAUAAGCACCGGCUAACUACGUG